UGAAUACGAGACGCUAAGGCGUCGAAGUAGUGUAUGUCAUACUUCCAAGAAAAGCUUGCACUGUCAUAAGUAAAAAAUGCCUGUACCAUAACCGACACAGGUGGGUAGGUAGAGUAUACUAAGGGGCGCGAGAUAACUCUCUCUAAGGAACUCGGCAAAAUAACUCCGUAACUUCGGGAGAAGGAGUACCUUAUUCUAUAAGGUUGCAAUAACAAGAUCCAAGCAACUGUUUAUCAAAAACACAGGUCUCCGCUAAGUCGUAAGACGAUGUAUGGGGGCUGACGCCUGCCCAGUGCCAGAAGGUUAAAGAAGUCGGAUAGCAUUAGCGAAGCUGGUAACUGAAGCCCUGGUGAACGGCGGCCGUAACUAUAACGGUCCUAAGGUAGCGAAAUUCCUUGUCGGGUAAGUUCCGACCCGCACGAAAGGCGUAAUGAUUUGGAUACUGUCUCGGAGAGGGGCUCGGUGAAAUAGACUUGUCUGUGAAGAUGCGGACUACCUGCACCAGGACAGAAAGACCCUAUGAAGCUUUACUGUAACUUGAAAUUGAAAUUGGACUUUAUUCGCGCAGUAUAGGUGGGAGGUGUUGAUUAUAAUCUUGCGGGAUUAUUGGAGCCAUCAGUGAGAUACCACUCUUGUAAUGUUAGAUUUCUAACUUUGAAUCGUUAUCUGGUCAAAGGACAGUUUCAGGCGGGCAGUUUGACUGGGGCGGUCGCCUCCCAAACGGUAACGGAGGCGUACAAAGGUUUCCUCUGAACGGGUAGAAAUCGUAUCUAGAGUGUAAAGGCAUAAGGAAGCUUGACUGUGAGACCUACAAGUCGAACAGGGACGAAAGUCGGUCUUAGUGAUCUGACGGUACUGAGUGGAAAGGCCGUCACUCAACGGAUAAAAGUUACUCUAAGGAUAACAGGCUGAUCUCCCCCAAGAGUUCACAUCGACGGGGAGGUUUGGCACCUCGAUGUCGGCUCAUCGCAUCCUGGGGCGGUAGUACGUCCCAAGGGUUGGGCUGUUCGCCCAUGAAAGCGGUACGCGAGCUGGGUUCAGAACGUCGUGAGACAGUUCGGUCCAUAUCCGGUGUAGGCGUUAGAAUAUUGAGAGGAGCCUUCUUUAGUACGAGAGGACCGAGAAGGACAUACCUCUGGUGUACCAGUUAUCGUGCCAACGGUAAACGCUGGGUAGCUAUGUAUGGAGUGGAUAACCGCUGAAAGCAUCUAAGUGGGAAGCCCACCUCAAGAUGAGUGCUCUCACAGGGUUAACCUGGUAAGGUCACGGGAAGACCACCCGUUAAUAGGCACUAGGUGGAAGUCCAGUAAUGGAUGGAGCCAAGGUGUACUAACAGACCGAGGGCUCGACC
RNAcentral lists this ribosomal RNA (1351 nucleotides) under metagenome. RNAcentral's name for it is "bacterial LSU rRNA". It matches the Rfam family "Bacterial large subunit ribosomal RNA", at positions 1564 to 2925 of the family's 2925-position model. The record is from RNAcentral.